RNAcentral lists this ribosomal RNA (452 nucleotides) under uncultured bacterium. RNAcentral's name for it is "bacterial SSU rRNA". It matches the Rfam family "Bacterial small subunit ribosomal RNA", at positions 917 to 1382 of the family's 1533-position model. The record is from RNAcentral.
GGGAGCGCACAACCGGUGGAGCAUGUGGUUUAAUUCGAUACAAAGCGAAGGACCUCACCUGGGUUUGACAUGUACCUGCACGCCUCUGGAAACAGGGGAAGCCUACGAGGGUGGUACACAGGUGUUGCAUGGCUGUCGUCAGCUCGUGUCGUGAGACGUCCGCUUAAGUGCGGUAACGAGCGCAACCCCUGCUGCGUGUUAAAUAUUCACGCGGGACUGCCUUACAGCAAGUAGGGAGGAAGGAGGGGACGACGUCAAGUCAGCAUGACCCUUACACCCAGGGCAACACACAUCCUACAAUGGGAAGGACAACGGGUCGCGAAGCGGCAACGCUGAGCUAAUCCUAAAAACCUUCUCUCAGUUCGAAUUGAGGGCUGCAACCCGCCCUCAUGAAGUCGGAAUCGGUAGUAAUCGCAGGUCAGCAGACUGCGGUGAAUACGUUCUCGCUCCUU